Molecule: ribosomal RNA, 527 nt
Filed under: Pseudovibrio denitrificans
Lineage: Bacteria; Pseudomonadati; Pseudomonadota; Alphaproteobacteria; Hyphomicrobiales; Stappiaceae
Description: bacterial SSU rRNA
Rfam family: Bacterial small subunit ribosomal RNA
Source: RNAcentral
CCUAUGGGGGAAAGAUUUAUCGCCAUGAGAUGUGCCCGCGUUAGAUUAGCUAGUUGGUAAGGUAAUGGCUUACCAAGGCGACGAUCUAUAGCUGGUCUGAGAGGAUGAUCAGCCACACUGGGACUGAGACACGGCCCAGACUCCUACGGGAGGCAGCAGUGGGGAAUAUUGGACAAUGGGGGCAACCCUGAUCCAGCCAUGCCGCGUGUGUGAUGACGGCCUUAGGGUUGUAAAGCACUUUCAGCAGUGAAGAUAAUGACAUUAACUGCAGAAGAAGCCCCGGCUAACUUCGUGCCAGCAGCCGCGGUAAUACGAAGGGGGCUAGCGUUGUUCGGAAUCACUGGGCGUAAAGCGUACGUAGGCGGACUGAUCAGUCAGGGGUGAAAUCCCGGGGCUCAACCCCGGAACUGCCUUUGAUACUGUCAGUCUUGAGAUCGAGAGAGGUGAGUGGAACUCCGAGUGUAGAGGUGAAAUUCGUAGAUAUUCGGAAGAACACCAGUGGCGAAGGCGGCUCACUGGCUCGAUAC